AACGAACGCUGGCGGCAGGCUUAACACAUGCAAGUCGAACGGGUGUAGCAAUACAUCAGUGGCAGACGGGUGAGUAACACGUGGGAACCUUCCUAGGGGUACGGAACAACUCAGGGAAACUUGAGCUAAUACCGUAUACGUCCGUAAGGAGAAAGAUUCAUCGCCCCUAGACGGGCCCGCGUCGGAUUAGGUAGUUGGUGGGGUAACGGCCUACCAAGCCUACGAUCCGUAGCUGAUCUGAGAGGAUGAUCAGCCACACUGGGACUGAGACACGGCCCAGACUCCUACGGGAGGCAGCAGUGGGGAAUCUUGGACAAUGGGCGCAAGCCUGAUCCAGCCAUGCCGCGUGAGUGAAGAAGGCCUUAGGU
RNAcentral lists this ribosomal RNA (368 nucleotides) under uncultured bacterium. Its description in RNAcentral is "bacterial SSU rRNA". It matches the Rfam family "Bacterial small subunit ribosomal RNA", at positions 29 to 422 of the family's 1533-position model. The record is from RNAcentral.